AUUUAUAUAGUAUAUCAAGUAUAUUUGACUUCCAAUCAAAUGGUCUAACUAUU
Molecule: transfer RNA, 53 nt
Filed under: Promecognathus crassus
Lineage: Eukaryota; Metazoa; Arthropoda; Insecta; Coleoptera; Carabidae
Description: tRNA-Gly
Source: RNAcentral